GACGAACGCUGGCGGCGUGCUUAACACAUGCGAGUCGUACGGUAAGGCCCUUUCGGGGGUACCCGAGUGGCGAACGGGUGAGUAACACGUGAGUAACCUGCCCACAACUUUGGGAUAACGCUAGGAAACUGGUGCUAAUACUGGAUAUGUGCUCCUGCUGCAUGGUGGGGGUUGGAAAGCUCCGGCGGUUGUGGAUGGACUCGCGGCCUAUCAGCUUGUUGGUGGGGUAGUGGCCUACCAAGGCGGCGACGGGUAGCCGGCCUGAGAGGGUGACCGGCCACAUUGGGACUGAGAUACGGCCCAGACUCCUACGGGAGGCAGCAGUGGGGAAUAUUGCACAAUGGGCGCAAGCCUGAUGCAGCAACGCCGCGUGCGGGAUGACGGCCUUCGGGUUGUAAACCGCUUUCAGCAGGGACGAAGCUUUUUGUGACGGUACCUGCAGAAGAAGCACCGGCUAACUACGUG
RNAcentral lists this ribosomal RNA (465 nucleotides) under uncultured bacterium. Its description in RNAcentral is "partial 16S ribosomal RNA". It matches the Rfam family "Bacterial small subunit ribosomal RNA", at positions 28 to 507 of the family's 1533-position model. The record is from RNAcentral.